Molecule: ribosomal RNA, 490 nt
Filed under: uncultured bacterium
Lineage: Bacteria
Description: partial 16S ribosomal RNA
Rfam family: Bacterial small subunit ribosomal RNA
Source: RNAcentral
AUUGAACGCUGGCGGCAUGCUUUACACAUGCAAGUCGAACGGUAACAGGCCUUCGGGUGCUGACGAGUGGCGAACGGGUGAGUAAUGCAUCGGAACGUGCCCAGAGGUGGGGGAUAACGCAGCGAAAGCUGUGCUAAUACCGCAUGUGAUCUGAGGAUGAAAGCGGGGGACCAGGCAGCAAUGUUUGGCCUCGCGCCUUUGGAGCGGCCGAUGUCAGAUUAGGUAGUUGGUGGGGUAAAGGCCUACCAAGCCGACGAUCUGUAGCUGGUCUGAGAGGACGACCAGCCACACUGGGACUGAGACACGGCCCAGACUCCUACGGGGGGCAGCAGUGGGGAAUUUUGGACAAGGGGCGCAAGCCUGAUCCAGCAAUGCCGCGUGCGGGAAGAAGGCCUUCGGGUUGUAAACCGCUUUUGUAGGGAACGAAAAGGCUCUGGCUAAUACCUGGGGCUGAUGACGGUACCGUAAGAAUAAGCACCGGCUAACUACG